UACGUAGGGUGCGAGCGUUGUCCGGAAUUAUUGGGCGUAAAGAGCUCGUAGGCGGUGUGUCACGUCGGCCGUGAAAACCUGGGGCUUAACUCUGGGCGUGCGGUCGAUACGGGCAUCACUAGAGUUCGGCAGGGGAGAGUGGAAUUCCUGGUGUAGCGGUGAAAUGCGCAGAUAUCAGGAAGAACACCCGUGGCUAAGGCGGCUCUCUAGUACGGUACUGACGCUGAGACGCGAAAGCGUGGGGAGCGAACAGG
This 254-nucleotide ribosomal RNA is filed under the name uncultured bacterium. RNAcentral's name for it is "partial 16S ribosomal RNA". It matches the Rfam family "Bacterial small subunit ribosomal RNA", at positions 524 to 776 of the family's 1533-position model. The record is from RNAcentral.